ACUGUGCUUUUCAACUCCAAAGAAAUCCCAUAGCUCAAGAUUAUUUCUUCCACUUGAAUAAAGAAAUCUUCAAAAAUCAUCUUCAGCAAAUCUUCAUAUUGAAGAUCUUCUUCUAAAUUAAUAAACGAUGCAGUCAUAUUCUUAUCCACAACAAACUCCCACAAGAAAACAUUUUACAAAUUCUGGAUGACUUCACAAAACCAAAAAAUUAAAAAAAUGUUAUAGAUGUUGGAAAGCAUUUGUAAUUUUUUGGAUGGGCUUCCAGAAAAAUGUAUUAGUGUAUUUCUAUCUAGCAAAGUUUAAACGAUGUAUAAAACUACAUCAGUUAGUGUAGAAACAUAAAUGAAGUUUUGAGAGUAUCAGAAGUUUCAGCUGCCUUGAAGCAUUUUCAUGAAUUUUAUUAAGAAAAUCUUAAUGUGAUACUAUUAUAAGGCAUAUAUGUUAUCUACGAUAUCCAUCAAAAUAUUUUAAAGGCAAAGUAUUAAUCUUACAUCUGUUCCAUAGAGUAAUAACGAUCACAAAGGAAAAUGAUUACUUUCUUGGAGCUGAUGAGGGUCUCUCAUCUUUGUAUAUGUUCUGCUGAUACACUUUGUCUCUAAAAAGAACCAAUCUCUCGUCACAACAGAAUCGCAAUAUCUCUCUUAAGUUAGCUUCACUGAGACACUGACCAGACGGGUUUCUGGGGUUAAUGAUCACCAUUGCCCUUACCUGUCAUUAACCAUGUGUCUUAACCAAUAAAGAAGCUUCUAUAUCAACAGUUCUACUCACUUUUAUUCCUUGAGAACGAGCCUGAGCAACAAAAAGCUUCUUCCUUUUUUUGGGUUUUCCUUUGCUUAAGUGUUUUAGUUGGUGAAGCCGGAGUAUCUAGCUUCUUCGUUUUCUCAUAUUUGGACUUCAUUUCUUCUUCUUCUUCUUCUUUUUCAGUUUCAUCUCUGUUAGUUUCCUCUGCAGCUUGUUUCCGGUAGGACCAAGAACUGAUCGGAACUCCUGCUCACCGGAAUCAGGACGGAACCGGCAUUGACCAGAUUCUCACCUGAAAGAAUAUGCUUCGAUAUCCACAAAACCAACAAUGAAUAUACUAAAUUUGCUAAUUUCAAAACAUGUUUAGAGAGUGUAGUAUUGAAAAAUCGGCAUUUUAACAGCACCACUUUAAGGAUUUUUCUAGCAAACCAAACCAAUUUGCUUACAUGUGUUCACGAGAAAAGCAGUGAUAUAAACAAUGAGAGAAAGUGAUGAAAUCAUAGAGAAUAGACUUGGAACUGUGAAGAUAACAACACCCUUUUGACUUUGGAAAACCCAGAAAAAUGAAGCUUUCUGAUCAAGAGAGAACCUCUGAUUGCAUACUGAUAUUUCUUCACGUCUCCGUUGAGGGAUUCGUAGUCUACUAGUUUUUGAGAGACAUUUUCAGAAUUGACUUUUCACACAAAUAGCAAACACGCUUAGCUCGAUUACGGAGUGAAGGCGGAUAUGAUUAAAGUGGUGAUGAUGGUGAUGGAGAUGAGUGGCGCCAGAGAUGAUGACGGACGAGAUAAUCGCCAAGAUGAUCGACACCGGAGAUAAUGAUGACCAAGAUGAUCGACGCCGGAGAUGACGCAAGCUGUCAUCGUCGAUUUCGUGAUUUCAAUUUUCAGAAAAAAUGUAAUUAGAGAAAGAAAUGGGUAAAAUGGUAAAUGUCCAUAUUAAAUGAAACAUUUAUAAUUUAAGUUAUAUAAUUUUCAUUAUUUUAUAUAUAUUUUACAAUUUAUUUAUUUAUUUUAUAUUCAUUUUUUAAUUUUUUUUUUUAAUGUUUUUUUUUAAUUUUGUGGGUUGGCGGGUACCCGCGACUCAAAUUCGGCCGACACGCACCCGUCCCGCUUAAAAUCGACUCAACCCGCACCCGCAUAUUGAAAUUGUGAAUCGGUUGACCCGCACCCGUCCCGCGACGGGUCAAACGGGGCGGUCCCCGCGGGUAAUGACCCAAAUUCCCAGCUCUACUUGAAAUCUAGAAUGGGAAGAAAAAAUGGAUAUAGGGUUAUCUAAGACUAUUUCUCUCUUCUUUUUUCAAUGUAAUCUUAAUUAUAGAAUAUAUUUGAAAAGUUGUUUGUUGUUUAAAUUUAGGCCAUUAUAUUAAAUUUUACAAUACUUUUAGGUUGUUUAAUUUUGUUAAGUAGUUUUUUGAACUAUUUUAUUAAAUAGUUUAAUCAAUUAACGUUGAUAUUAACCUACCAACUAUGAUUUUAUGCCACAUUAAAUAUAAUUUUAUCUUCUUUUUUUGACAAUAAAAGCUUCAUAUUUCAUUAAACUGGUUCGAGAGGGUUAGACUGAACUAAACGCGGAUGAACCAAAAUGUUUACAUGGGAGAAUUCAGAGUUUUUCAUACGAGCAUCCUUAGCAAGGAGAUCCGCACGAGAAUUGAACUCACGAUGAAUAAAAGAAAGGGGAAAUAAAGUAAACAAAGAACGGAGAUGAAAGAAUUCAUCUAAUUUUGAAGCCAAGGAUGGCCAAUAUUCUUCUUCUUCGAUCAGCUUAACCAUUUGCAGGCAGUCCGAUUCGACAUGCAUAGAUUCUUGCCCCAAUCGGAGAGAAUUACCCAUUGCCCAUAGCAGGGACUGGAACUCCGCGUGAAUGGGAGAGAGGACUUGAUUUCUCCCAAAGGAACCCGAGAUUUAGUUCCCGUCUUCUUGGUCUAGAACAAAACCCCCGCCGAAAGUAGCUUGGUUGGUCGCCCAAGAUGCAUCCACUUGACAUCUCAGUUUGUGCGACUCCAGCAUCUCCUCUCGGUUUACCAUUGCUGUGCGCUCUCGAGCCUUUCCUGCCGAUACGACCUCUUGCGCAACGCACCACUCUUCGCAUUCUUGGCUGGCCUUUUGUAGAGAAUCCAAAGGCGAGAUCUCUACUCCAUUGAACAGCUUAUCAUUCCUUGCUUUCCAUAAGUACCAUACGAUCCAUGGGAACUUGAUAAGCCUUAGCGUUGAGAUGCCCUUUGCAGUGGCUCGAAACAUAAGGAAAUCAAAGUUCUCAAGGAGUGACUUACUCGGGAAUUAUCCCGGAAUUGAUGGGAUAUCCGACAGCGCCCACGUCUGCACCGUCGGAGGACAUUCGAAGAGGAGGUGGUUUAUUGUUUCCUCUUCUCCUCCGCACCUAGGACACGCCCGUUUGUUUCCACAGUGCCGUUCAGCCAGUCGGCUGCAUACCGCGACGCACCCUGUUAAGCAUUGCCAUAGAAAGUGUUUAAUCUUCCUGGGAGCUUUCAGUUUCCACACCUUAGAUAGUAAGGGAUUGAUACUUGGUUCCAGCACUUGUUUAUCUAAAGAGUUAAGAAGACUAAAACGCCAUUAACAAAGAUUUUAAAAUAAGCUUUAGGUUUAACGGCAAAUUGUGUGGAAAGACCCUUUAACCAUUCUUUUUAAUGAACGUUCCUUUUUAAUACUUAGUUACAAAAUUACCGUUUUAAUUUAAUUACGUUAGCGUAUUGAAACAGAAAAGAAAUAAAAUCAUGUUUCUUUAUUAUUCUCAUCAAAGCAAAAGCAGGGGUUUCUCAUCCUUCAUCGUUGUCGGUUCCUUCUGAGGGUGUAGAGAGUUGAGGCUCGAUUUCGUCAUUCCUCGGACGAUCGCCGAUUUCACCGGCGUGGGAAGCCCCAGUUCCACCGUUGAUGAGCAUAGAUUCUGCCUCCGACAAGCUUAGGGUUACUGAGCCGUCUGUAUGUUGAGUGAGGAAGGGCACAACCCGCAUCAGUUGCUCUUGGAAAGGCUGCUCGUUAAAUUUCCUGUUGACGUCUUUUAUAAUCAAGAAAUUUGAUUUCAUCUUUUCCAUUAUGUAUGUGAUUUGAAUCUGACGUCUUUGAUGUGUUUUGAGCGUGACGUCUCAAACUAUACACGUCUAUGCUUGUGAAAUUCUUGAAGAAGAUGGGAGGGAGCAAAUGGCCUUUGAUCUGUACUGUGCUUGUGCUAGUGGUUACAUAAAUCUCGAGAAGAUUGAUGCGUUUCUGAAAAUGAUCAGAACGGAACUGCUAGCAGGUUGUUCACAGUCUAUAAUGAAAGCUACAUCGAUCAAAUCAAGAAAGUGCAAGUUCAGAUGAAUGCUGGUGAAGAUCUCGACUAGGAUGAUCUCAUUCAAAGAUUCUCCUCUUUGUAAAGAUUAAGACUCCUACACUUUGCUUAUGUUCAAGCCAGAGUACUUAAAGAAAGUUAUCAUUUUGGUCCGAUCCUUGGUUAUGUAAAUGAUUUGAUUAUAAAGGCUCUGAAUUCAAUUUUGUGCUU
Molecule: long non-coding RNA, 4239 nt
Organism: Brassica napus (rape)
Lineage: Eukaryota; Viridiplantae; Streptophyta; Magnoliopsida; Brassicales; Brassicaceae
Exons: 2
Source: RefSeq, a predicted model, not a curated record